GUUGGACAGGGCUUGGAGCAACCUGGUCUAGUGGAAGGUGCUCCCAACCAUGGCACAGGGUUGGGACUGAAUAAGCUUUAAGGUCUCUUCCAACCCAUAUACGCUAUGAUUCUACGAUUUGCUCAGCCUAAUAAUCUAGAAAGUGCACUACAUUACACAGCACAGGAGCUCCUGACUACCUCUGAAGACCUCUUGUGUACACACACAGAAAAAUAUCCAAAUCAACUGAUGCCUUCAAAUAAUGAAUGGAGCAAAGUUUGAUUUCAGCAAAAGAUGUCCACUGCACUGGAAGCAAAGCCACUCUUACUAUCAGCAUUAGCUAACUUGACAAUAAAGGCUUCAGGUGAAACUGAAGACGGGGACAAACCAAGUUCAUCAGCAGAUCAGUUGAAUCAACUGCUAAACUGAUUUUGUUAUUAAAGACACACGCAUGAAAAGACCCCAACAAGACAAACUCAUCAACAACCACAUCCUGCACAUUUGAAUGUAAAAUAGAUCACUGGAUUCUGGGACCCCAGAACAGUCCAAAUGAAGCUCUUUGAUCUUGGAGAUUAACAUUUAAAAGAGCCACAAAGGUUGCUAUGCCACUGUUUCAGAGAUUCUUGAGCCUGCCCAGACUGAAGGUGUUCAUUUAUAAGACAUGUUUUCUCCCUGUAGAAAGACUGGGGAAUUUGUAUUGUCCAGUGGCACUUAACCCUUAUUUGCUGUGAACAUCAGAUGUCAGCACUAGAAAAUUUCCAGCAAACAGUAGGUGUGCUUUACCCCAUGGAGUUACCAUUUUGGCCUUUAGUGGAAUUAAAAACAU
Long non-coding RNA from Pezoporus flaviventris, 805 nucleotides. RefSeq lists it as uncharacterized. NCBI's taxonomy places the organism in Eukaryota, Metazoa, Chordata, Aves, Psittaciformes, Psittacidae. The record is from RefSeq and is a predicted model, not a curated record. The transcript is spliced from 2 exons.